This 228-nucleotide long non-coding RNA is filed under the name Mytilus galloprovincialis (Mediterranean mussel). Lineage: Eukaryota; Metazoa; Mollusca; Bivalvia; Mytilida; Mytilidae. The record is from RNAcentral.
AAAUCAGGGUAUGAAAUUAAAACCGAGGGAAACACUCAACUAAUAGUGGAAUAGAAUUAAGGAUUUGAUUGUUGUAAGCUUACGCCCUUUUCUGAACAAAAGACUAAUCACCAACGCUGGAAACAAAUCAUUUAAAAGGGCGAAGUUGAAUAGUGUCAAGAACUCAAAAUUGUGAAAGAUGUUGCCAAAAACAGGUAACGUUAACGUUUUCCUGGGGCAGAAAGUCUU